CCUACGGGAGGCAGCAGUAGGGAAUCUUCCACAAUGGACGAAAGUCUGAUGGAGCAACGCCGCGUGAGUGAAGAAGGGUUUCGGCUCGUAAAGCUCUGUUGGUCGUGAAGAAAGAUAGAGGUAGUAACUGGCCUUUAUUUGACGGUAAUUACUUAGAAAGUCACGGCUAACUACGUGCCAGCAGCCGCGGUAAUACGUAGGUGGCAAGCGUUGUCCGGAUUUAUUGGGCGUAAAGCGAGUGCAGGCGGUUCAAUAAGUCUGAUGGGAAAGCCUUCGGCUCAACCGGAGAAUUGCAUCAGAAACUGUUGAACUUGAGUGGAGAAGAGGAGAGUGGAACUCCAUGUGUAGCGGUGGAAUGCGUAGAUAUAUGGAAGAACGCCAGUGGCGAAGGCGGCUUUCUGGUCUGCAACUGACGCUGAGGCGCGAAAGCAUGGGUAGCGAACAGGAUUAGAUACCCCUGUAGUC
This 465-nucleotide ribosomal RNA is filed under the name uncultured bacterium. RNAcentral describes it as "partial 16S ribosomal RNA". It matches the Rfam family "Bacterial small subunit ribosomal RNA", at positions 338 to 795 of the family's 1533-position model. The record is from RNAcentral.